AUACCUUUCUCGGCCUUUUGGCUAAGAUCAAGUGUAGUAUCUGUUCUUAUCAGUUUAAUAUCUGAUAUGUGGACUAUUAGUUCACUCGAUAUUAAAUUUAUUUUCUGAGGGAGAGAACCAUCACAGUAGCUUGCUACUUGUUUCUCAUGCAUCGCCUUUGAUUUGCACUUCUUCAAAGUGCUGGUGCAUCCCAC
Molecule: small nuclear RNA, 194 nt
Filed under: Vigna radiata var. radiata (mung bean)
Lineage: Eukaryota; Viridiplantae; Streptophyta; Magnoliopsida; Fabales; Fabaceae
Description: snRNA U2
Rfam family: U2 spliceosomal RNA
About the family: U2 is a small nuclear RNA (snRNA) component of the spliceosome (involved in pre-mRNA splicing).
Source: Rfam by way of RNAcentral